RNAcentral lists this ribosomal RNA (251 nucleotides) under uncultured prokaryote. Its description in RNAcentral is "partial 16S ribosomal RNA". It matches the Rfam family "Bacterial small subunit ribosomal RNA", at positions 524 to 774 of the family's 1533-position model. The record is from RNAcentral.
UACGGAGGGUGCAAGCGUUAUCCGGAUUUAUUGGGUUUAAAGGGUGCGUAGGCGGUUUGAUAAGUCAGCGGUGAAAUAUUUCAGCUUAACUGGAAGGGUGCCGUUGAUACUGUCGAGCUUGAAUUUAGUUGCUGUGGGUGGAAUGUGUGGUGUAGCGGUGAAAUGCAUAGAUAUCACACAGAAUAUCGAUUGCGAAGGCAGCUCACAAAGCUAAUAUUGACGCUGAUGCACGAAAGUGUGGGGAUCAAACA